Molecule: non-coding RNA, 29 nt
Filed under: Rattus norvegicus (Norway rat)
Lineage: Eukaryota; Metazoa; Chordata; Mammalia; Rodentia; Muridae
Source: RNAcentral
UACCUGGCUUUUUAUGGGGAUAUUGGGUA